CGCACAGGAUGCACCGUAGUUUACUACACCGUAUUCUGUGAGUUGCGAACGGGUGAGUAACGCGUAGGUAACCUGCCUGGUAGCGGGGGAUAACUAUUGGAAACGAUAGCUAAUACCGCAUAAGAACAUUUACUGCAUGGUAGAUGUUUAAAAGGUGCAAAUGCAUCACUACCAGAUGGACCUGCGUUGUAUUAGCUAGUAGGUGAGGUAACGGCUCACCUAGGCGACGAUACAUAGCCGACCUGAGAGGGUGAUCGGCCACACUGGGACUGAGACACGGCCCAGACUCCUACGGGAGGCAGCAGUAGGGAAUCUUCGGCAAUGGGGGGAACCCUGACCGAGCAACGCCGCGUGAGUGAAGAAGGUUUUCGGAUCGUAAAGCUCUGUUGUUAAGGAAGAACGAGUGUGAGAAUGGAAAGUUCAUACUGUGACGGUACUUAACCAGAAAGGGACGGCUAACUACGUGCCAGCAGCCGCGGUAAUACGUAGGUCCCGAGCGUUGUCCGGAUUUAUUGGGCGUAAAGCGAGCGCAGGCGGUUAGAUA
This 544-nucleotide ribosomal RNA is filed under the name uncultured Streptococcus sp. RNAcentral describes it as "bacterial SSU rRNA". It matches the Rfam family "Bacterial small subunit ribosomal RNA", at positions 58 to 585 of the family's 1533-position model. Lineage: Bacteria; Bacillati; Bacillota; Bacilli; Lactobacillales; Streptococcaceae. The record is from RNAcentral.